AACGAACGCUGGCGGCAUGCCUAACACAUGCAAGUCGAACGAGACCUUCGGGUCUAGUGGCGCACGGGUGCGUAACGCGUGGGAACCUGCCCUUAGGUUCGGAAUAACUCCCCGAAAGGGGUGCUAAUACCGGAUAAUGUCUUCGGACCAAAGAUUUAUCGCCUUUGGAUGGGCCCGCGUUGGAUUAGCUCGUUGUUAGGGUAAAAGCCUACCAAGGCGACGAUCCAUAGCUUGUUUGAGAGGAUGAUCAGCCACACUGGGACUGAGACACGGCCCAGACUCCUACGGGAGGCAGCAGUGGGGAAUAUUGGACAAUGGGCGAAAGCCUGAGCCAGCAAUGCCGCGUGAGUGAUGAAGGCCUUAGGGUUGUAAAGCUCUUUUACCCGGGAUGAUAAUGACAGUACCGGGAGAAUAAGCUCCGGCUAACUCCGUG
This 433-nucleotide ribosomal RNA is filed under the name uncultured bacterium. RNAcentral describes it as "partial 16S ribosomal RNA". It matches the Rfam family "Bacterial small subunit ribosomal RNA", at positions 29 to 507 of the family's 1533-position model. The record is from RNAcentral.